Molecule: transfer RNA, 82 nt
Filed under: Draconibacterium sp.
Lineage: Bacteria; Pseudomonadati; Bacteroidota; Bacteroidia; Marinilabiliales; Prolixibacteraceae
Also listed under: 1 other name
Description: tRNA-Leu
Rfam family: tRNA
About the family: Transfer RNA (tRNA) molecules are approximately 80 nucleotides in length. Their secondary structure includes four short double-helical elements and three loops (D, anti-codon, and T loops). Further hydrogen bonds mediate the characteristic L-shaped molecular structure. tRNAs have two regions of fundamental functional importance: the anti-codon, which is responsible for specific mRNA codon recognition, and the 3' end, to which the tRNAs corresponding amino acid is attached (by aminoacyl-tRNA synthetases). tRNAs cope with the degeneracy of the genetic code in two manners: having more than one tRNA (with a specific anti-codon) for a particular amino acid; and 'wobble' base-pairing, i.e. permitting non-standard base-pairing at the 3rd anti-codon position.
Source: RNAcentral
GCGGGCGUGGCGGAAUUGGUAGACGCGCUAGACUUAGGAUCUAGUGCCAUAUGGCGUGGGGGUUCGAGUCCCUUCGCCCGUA